This is a long non-coding RNA of Cyprinus carpio (common carp), 522 nucleotides long. RefSeq lists it as uncharacterized. NCBI's taxonomy places the organism in Eukaryota, Metazoa, Chordata, Actinopteri, Cypriniformes, Cyprinidae. The record is from RefSeq and is a predicted model, not a curated record. The transcript is spliced from 3 exons.
AUCUCUCUCUCUCUCUCUCUCUGUGUGUGUGUGUGUGUGUGUUUUGCACUGAUGUACAGCAAUAAUCUCGGUCCUGUGUAUCUGCAUGUUUGUACAUAUUCACAUGCUUUUUAUACACUGUUUUAAAUAAAGCCGUUUUUAUCUAUAAAUCUGACUCUGAGAGUGAAGAGCUCGUGUGGAACUGUUUUAUAUAUGAUCUCUUUCACAUUUAUAGUGUGUAUUGUUCACAAUGGAAACAAGUUUUUUCUUCUCUCGGGAUUGUGUUUAAAUGUUUGGUCUGUUAUUGUUUAUUAUUAUCAGCAUUGUUGAAGUCAAACUCGAGCAGAAGCGCAGCUGAGAUUCGCGGCGCGGCGCGUCUGUGCUCGGGUUUGAGUUUGAUCUCCAUAGCAACGCGAUCAGACGCGCGGCGCGGGGCCUCGAACCGAGCUCCAGAAUGUCGCGGGGUUUUCUCGAUCUCCCGGAAAUAACGAGCGAGAACUUUGAACACAGUCUCUCAUCUGAUCAGGUGUUAGGGGAUUUUUU